GUACAGAUACAUGAUAAGGGAAUAACGUUUAGUGCAAGGUAAAGCCAGUAAAGUCCGGUCAAGGAUCGUCUGAGGACAACCAAAGAGGCAGAUAGUAGUUCAGGACCGUUCUCUGGUUGUGGUAGGA
This is a long non-coding RNA of Amblyraja radiata (thorny skate), 127 nucleotides long. RefSeq lists it as uncharacterized. The transcript has 3 exons. NCBI's taxonomy places the organism in Eukaryota, Metazoa, Chordata, Chondrichthyes, Rajiformes, Rajidae. The record is from RefSeq and is a predicted model, not a curated record.